ACACAGGGAGGUAGUGACAAGAAAUAACAAUACGGGGCUUAAUGUCUUGUAAUUGGAAUGAUGGGAAUUUAAACCUCUUCCAGAGUAUCAAUUGGAGGGCAAGUCUGGUGCCAGCAGCCGCGGUAAUUCCAGCUCCAAUAGCGUAUAUUAAAAUUGUUGCAGUUAAAAAGCUCGUAGUUGAAUUUCUGCUGCUUUGUUUUAGCUCUUUGAUGGGCUUUUGCACUGCKRCUUUUUUCGGUCUUCGCUUCUGCKUUGUCCGGAUGUUUACUUUGAGAAAAYUAGASUGCUCAAAGCAGGCYUUUGCCUGAMUAGUKWAGCMUGGAAUAAUAAMGUAGGACUUUGRUUCUACUUGCUGG
Molecule: ribosomal RNA, 356 nt
Filed under: Theileria sp.
Lineage: Eukaryota; Apicomplexa; Aconoidasida; Piroplasmida; Theileriidae
Description: partial small subunit ribosomal RNA
Source: RNAcentral